This 2014-nucleotide long non-coding RNA is filed under the name Homo sapiens (human). Its description in RNAcentral is "HSALNT0221307". Lineage: Eukaryota; Metazoa; Chordata; Mammalia; Primates; Hominidae. The record is from RNAcentral.
GAACGCCCUGCCCACCGGAGGGCUGGCGCCCCAGAUCCUAGGUUUCCUGGUUGAAUGUUCUGUUGUAGAAGAAUGCAACUGAGUUUUCUAAACAGAUCUUCUUCUUGACAUCCUUGCUGAACGAGAGCAAAGGAGACAGCUGGGAGCAGAUGGGCAAAUCCCAGUUUGCCCAAAGAAAUGUCUAUUUUCCAAGGGGCAUGAAGAAUUUAGGAAUAAAGCAGAUCUGAUUUCUAAUUCUGACUUUGCUACUGGCAAAUUGUGUGGACUCAGGAAAGUGACCGGCCCUCUUUAAGACUCAGUGUGCUUACCUCUGAAAUGGAGCUGUCAAUCACAUCUGCCUCACAGGCUUGUUCUGAGGAUGAAGUGAGAAAAUGCCCACGAGGUGCUGGUUGCAGCAGCUGGUGCAUAGAGCUUAAAAAGGAUGCAGUCCCAAAACAUAGAAGGAUUUACUCCAGAUCCAAGCAAUGAGUCAGGAACAGAAAGCCUGAUGCCCUCACCUGGAACUCUCCCUCCUCCCUGGAUGAGGACCUUCCCCAGAAUUGCAGGGCACCCACACAAGACCAAGCAAGUUCAGAGAAAAUUGAAACCUGACUUUAGAGCCUCUGGGAUGUUCACUACACCUCAUUGAACCUGUUUGGUUCACAGAGCUCCAACUACCGUCUACUUCCUGCAACUGGCCUGCUGCCAACUCCCCAGAUCUCUUGUGGAGCUGCCGGAAGAGACAGCCUGCCACAGAAGAAAGCAGCCCUCCUCUUUCAUGGCCUCCCACAUCUUGAAACAAACACAAGCAAACAAAACAAAAGCUUGAGUCCCAGCCUGAUUCACCAGGUUUGGUUCCCAAUUGUUGAAAUUCCCUUCCCAGGGCUCUCAGAACCAGGGUUGGCUGGAGGGGUGAAAGAGGCUGGCCCUGAGCCCAGUAAUAGGACACCAAGGGGGAGCUAAAAGCUGGGAUCUGGGGUGAAGAUGGGGUCUUCCAAGCUGGGAGGCAGACACCAGGCCAGAGCAACCGGCCUGCCCCAGCUCAGGCCUCUUAACCCAUGCAGGGCAAGAGUAUAAACAGAGGCCACGGACCACAUGCCUCAGUAUUUAAACUUAUAAAUCAAGCUAACAUAACAUGAAAUCAAAUAUGUUCUAUCCUCCUAGCUUGACAAAUACUUUCAUAACGAGAUGGAAUGCCAGGUUCAGAUUUAGAAUUUUCACACUCCUUAAAGUUCCAAGUCAAAAUACAGCAUUAGGGGAGGGCCCCCAACCUCGAGGUCUCCCCUCCCCCAUUUUCUUUCACUCCCAGCUCUGUCUCACACCACGAGGGAUCUUGGGUGAAUGCCCCUCGAUACCCCAGCCCCCCACAAACAGCUGCCCUUUCCCCCCUUGGCCAAGGGUAAGCACAGCAGCAGGGCAGUCUGCCCUUGGCUGGAGAGAUGGAAGGAGAGGCCACACGGGCCCUGAAAAUGCAUUUGGGGACUCUUGGGCAGGAAACUUGGGAGUUUCUGGAGCCUCAAGGAGGGUCUAGUGGGACAGAGCCACUUGGGCCCAUGAGAUCCUUGACCCAUGGAGAAGGGUAGGGCUAGAGGAGGGCCAGGGCAGGCCCUAUGAACAGAAGAACCUAGAGUAACUGCCCUGUCCCCAGAUCCUGUCACCGAGCAGGUAUACUUGGGAGGGUAUUGGAGGGUGGAACCCAAGGGAGCUUGCCCAAGGCACUAGGAAAGAAAAGUGUAAACCUUGUUAGAGAAUGCUAAGGAUAGCUGUUAAAGCCUCAGAGAUUUUACUCAUUUUUGGCUGUUUCUAAAAAUCUUCCCCCAAAGGAAGAUCUUGCUCUCAUUGAGGAUCUGAGAAAGAAUUCUCUCCAAGUAGUUUCAAAACAUUCUGAUGUAAAAACUCUGGUGUGUUAGUCAAAAAUAAAUUUUGUUGCUUGAUGGCUUCACCAUUCACAAAAUAUUCUAUCCAUCCAAUUUAAAAAUAAGAGCAGGGUAUUUAAAACUCUUUCAAUAAACACAAAUUAAAACAAUGAAGCUUG